RNAcentral lists this transfer RNA (65 nucleotides) under Tetraphleps aterrimus. RNAcentral's name for it is "tRNA-Glu". It matches the Rfam family "tRNA". From Rfam's summary of the family: Transfer RNA (tRNA) molecules are approximately 80 nucleotides in length. The record is from RNAcentral. Lineage: Eukaryota; Metazoa; Arthropoda; Insecta; Hemiptera; Anthocoridae.
GUUUAUGUAGUUUAAUUAAAACAUUUCAUUUUCAAUGAAAAAUUGGGGUUCAUCCUCCUUAAACA